RNAcentral lists this ribosomal RNA (497 nucleotides) under uncultured bacterium. RNAcentral's name for it is "partial 16S ribosomal RNA". It matches the Rfam family "Bacterial small subunit ribosomal RNA", at positions 28 to 507 of the family's 1533-position model. The record is from RNAcentral.
GACGAACGCUGGCGGCGUGCCUAAUACAUGCAAGUUGAGCGCUGAAGGUUGGUACUUGUACCAACUGGAUGAGCAGCGAACGGGUGAGUAACGCGUGGGGAAUCUGCCUUUGAGCGGGGGACAACAUUUGGAAACGAAUGCUAAUACCGCAUAAAAACUUUAAACACAAGUUUUAAGUUUGAAAGAUGCAAUUGCAUCACUCAAAGAUGAUCCCGCGUUGUAUUAGCUAGUUGGUGAGGUAGAGGCUCACCAAGGCGAAGAUACAUAGCCGACCUGAGAGGGUGAUCGGCCAAAUUGGGACUGAGACACGGCCCAAACUCCUACGGGAGGCAGCAGUAGGGAAUCUUCGGCAAUGGACGAAAGUCUGACCGAGCAACGCCGCGGGGGUGAAGAAGGUUUUCGGAUCGUAAAACUCUGUUGGUAGAGAAGAACGUUGGUGAGAGUGGAAAGCGCAUCAAGUGACGGUAACUACCCAGAAAGGGACGGCUAACUACGUG